GGAGGCGGAAGUGACUGAUCAAUUCAGGGGCGUGGGGUUCGUUUAGGUUUUGCCCUGUGUAUGACCUCGUUUGGAGCCAUGAAACCAGGUGGCUUUUCUACAAUAUAAAGAUGGAAAUGGGAAGAAGAUGUUCAUUGCAAAUUAAGGAAGCUCUUCCACGAGUUCACGAAUGGAAAUAACAUCAAGAGUUUUUCAUCUUCUUAGUGUGCAAGAUAAAUAUCAAGGAGUGCAAUUCCUGGAUUUAUGAUGUCUGAGGAAUAGUCUUAGUGGAUUAUCCCAAACUUGACACAUUUUUUGCAAAAUGCUAUACAAAAAGAAGAUACAUGCGAUUAUGACAAGAUUCUCCACUUGGUGUGACCAGUCUCAUACAACCCAAGGCUGUGUGUCCAAAGGCAACUGUACUGAUCUUGACAAUAAUCAAAAGGUAGCCAGGUGCAUCGGGGAAAGCACUGACAUUGGAGUCAGACAGACUGAAGUUCAUAUCUGAUUCUGCUAUAUGACAACGUGUGGGCUAUGUGGCUAACUUCUCAGAGCUUCAGUUUUCUCAAGGGCAAAAUGAAAAUAAUAGAAAUAAUAGAAUCCACCUCACAGGGCUGUGGUGAGAAUUGGAGAUGAAGCACAUACAGCAUAUUACAUCAACUAAACACAUGCUAAGUACUCAACAGCUACUAACAUUAUUAUUCCUCUUAUAUGUACUGUAAAUAUUUGUAUUAAUGGACAAAUAGUCAUUCAUGUGUAUAUAUAGCUGUGUUUUAUUAGCUAAAUACUGUACUAAAUGCUAGGAAAACAAGAAUAUUGUCCCUUCCAAGGCCUUUUUUUGGUGAGAAAAGAUCUUCAAACAAUUAUAAUACAGAAUAUUAGAGUUGCAUGUGCAUACCCAGUAACACAGACAAAUUGUGCUUUUAAAUUGCCUGGGUAAGGGAGAUUUCAAAUACAGUUUUACUAAAGGAGACUAUCAUGUGGGUAGAAGAAAUAACAUAUUCGAAGGCAUAAUAAAAGGACAGAGCAAGGUGUGUCGUAUAGAAUAUAAAGGUAGAUUUAGUCUUGCUGGACCAUGAAGUUUGAGGCCCGAAGUGGAGGGAAUUGAAACUAGACCUCUAGACAGGUAGAAUGACCUCUACUGUAAUGAAAAAGGGACUAGGUUUUUAUAUUGAAAGACAUUUUGAAGAAUUUGGAGAGUUGAAUGUAUGACUACAUUUAUACAUCAGAAAUAUUACAGUCUUAUAUAUGGGGAAGUUCACAUGGUACUUGGCUAACAGUCAUGUUGAAUUUUCACUGAAUACCUGAAAAUUCACCAAGUUUGGGAUAUUAUUGGAGUGUUUGGAAUGGGUUUCACUUUGUUUAUGAACAGACAGUUGCCUAGUUGUAGUGAAUUAUAUUGUGUUCCAGAAAUUAAAUGUUACAGCCGUGCUUGGA
RNAcentral lists this long non-coding RNA (1416 nucleotides) under Homo sapiens (human). Its description in RNAcentral is "ZRANB2 divergent transcript". Lineage: Eukaryota; Metazoa; Chordata; Mammalia; Primates; Hominidae. The record is from RNAcentral.